RNAcentral lists this ribosomal RNA (392 nucleotides) under uncultured bacterium. RNAcentral describes it as "bacterial SSU rRNA". It matches the Rfam family "Bacterial small subunit ribosomal RNA", at positions 28 to 420 of the family's 1533-position model. The record is from RNAcentral.
GACGAACGCUGGCGGCGUGCUUAACACAUGCAAGUCGAGCGGUAAGGCCCUUUCGGGGGUACGACGAGCGGCGAACGGGUGAGUAACACGUGGGUGACCUGCCCUCAGCUCUGGGAUAAGCCUGGGAAACCGGGUCUAAUACUGGAUAUGACUCCAUGACGCAUGUUGUGGGGUGGAAAGCCUUGUGCGGCUGAGGAUGGGCCCGCGGCCUAUCAGCUUGUUGGUGGGGUGAGGCCUACCAAGGCGACGACGGGUAGCCGGCCUGAGAGGGCGACCGGCCACACUGGGACUGAGACACGGCCCAGACUCCUACGGGAGGGCAGCAGUGGGGAAUCUUGCGCAAUGGGCGAAAGCCUGACGCAGCGACGCCGCGUGAGGGAUGACGGCCUCGG